RNAcentral lists this ribosomal RNA (756 nucleotides) under uncultured Alphaproteobacteria bacterium. Its description in RNAcentral is "bacterial SSU rRNA". It matches the Rfam family "Bacterial small subunit ribosomal RNA", at positions 38 to 842 of the family's 1533-position model. Lineage: Bacteria; Pseudomonadati; Pseudomonadota; Alphaproteobacteria. The record is from RNAcentral.
GGCGGCACGCCUCACACAUGCAAGUCGAACGAAGUAGCAAUACUUAGUGGCAGACGGGUGAGUAACAUGUGGGUAUCUACCCUUUGGCCUGGAAUAACACGAGGAAACUUGUGCUAAUACCGGAUAAGUCUUUACGGAGAAAGCUUUAUGCACCAUUGGAUGAGCCCGCACUUGAUUAGUUUGUUGGUAGGGUAAUGGCCUACCAAGACUAUGAUCAAUAGCUGAUUUGAGAGGAUGAUCAGCCACAUUGGGACUGAGACACGGCCCAAACUCCUACGGGAGGCAGCAGUGGGGAAUCUUGCACAAUGGAGGAAACUCUGAUGCAGCGAUGCCGCGUGAGUGAAGAAGGCCUUUGGGUUGUAAAGCUCUUUCGUCGGGGAAGAAAAUGACUGUACCCGAAUAAGAAGGUCCGGCUAACUUCGUGCCAGCAGCCGCGGUAAUACGAAGGGACCUAGCGUAGUUCGGAAUUACUGGGCUUAAAGAGUUCGUAGGUGGUUGAAAAAGUUGGUGGUGAAAUCCCAGAGCUUAACUCUGGAACUGCCAUCAAAACUUUUCAGCUAGAGUAUGAUAGAGGAAAGCAGAAUUUCUAGUGUAGAGGUGAAAUUCGUAGAUAUUAGAAAGAAUACCAAUUGCGAAGGCAGCUUUCUGGAUCAUUACUGACACUGAGGAACGAAAGCAUGGGUAGCGAAGAGGAUUAGAUACCCUCGUAGUCCAUGCCGUAAACGAUGUGUGUUAGACGUUGGAAAUUUAUUUUCA